This 274-nucleotide ribosomal RNA is filed under the name uncultured bacterium. RNAcentral describes it as "partial 16S ribosomal RNA". It matches the Rfam family "Bacterial small subunit ribosomal RNA", at positions 523 to 796 of the family's 1533-position model. The record is from RNAcentral.
AUACGGAGGGUGCAAGCGUUAUUCGGAAUCACUGGGCGUAAAGGACGCGUAGGCGGGUUGGCAAGUCAGAUGUGAAAUCCUACAGCUUAACUGUAGAACUGCAUUCGAAACUGCUAACCUAGAGUAUGGGAGGGGGAGAUGGAAUUAGUGGUGUAGGGGUAAAAUCCGUAGAUAUCUCUAGGAAUACCGAAAGCGAAGGCGAUCUCCUGGAACAUAACUGACGCUAAGGCGUGAAAGCGUGGGGAGCAAACAGGAUUAGAAACCCUAGUAGUCC